This 760-nucleotide ribosomal RNA is filed under the name Coprinellus disseminatus. Its description in RNAcentral is "eukaryotic LSU rRNA". It matches the Rfam family "Eukaryotic large subunit ribosomal RNA", at positions 131 to 881 of the family's 3401-position model. Lineage: Eukaryota; Fungi; Basidiomycota; Agaricomycetes; Agaricales; Psathyrellaceae. The record is from RNAcentral.
UGGCCGUCCGAGUUGUAAUCUAGAGAAGUGUUACCCGCGUCGGACCGUGUACAAGUCUCCUGGAAUGGAGCGUCAUAGAGGGUGAGAAUCCCGUCUUUGACACGGACUACCGAGGCUUCUGUGGUGCUCUCAAAGAGUCGAGUUGUUUGGGAAUGCAGCUCAAAAUGGGUGGUAAAUUCCAUCUAAAGCUAAAUAUUGGCGAGAGACCGAUAGCGAACAAGUACCGUGAGGGAAAGAUGAAAAGAACUUUGGAAAGAGAGUUAAACAGUACGUGAAAUUGCUGAAAGGGAAACGCUUGAAGUCAGUCGCGUUGUCCGGGAAUCAGCCUUCCUUCUGGUUGGCGUACUUCCUGGUCGACGGGCCAGCAUCAGUUUUGACUGGUGGAAAAAGUCGUAGGGAAUGUGGCACCUCCGGGUGUGUUAUAGCCCUGCUUCGUAUACAUCGGUUGGGACUGAGGAACUCAGCACGCCGCAAGGCCGGGAUUCGUCCACGUUCGUGCUUAGGAUGCUGGCAUAAUGGCUUUAAUCGACCCGUCUUGAAACACGGACCAAGGAGUCUAACAUGCCUGCGAGUGUUUGGGUGGAAAACCCGAGCGCGUAAUGAAAGUGAAAGUUGAGAUCCCUGUCAUGGGGAGCAUCGACGCCCGGACCAGACGUUCUCUGACGGUUCUGCGGUAGAGCAUGUAUGUUGGGACCCGAAAGAUGGUGAACUAUGCCUGAAUAGGGUGAAGCCAGAGGAAACUCUGGUGGAGGCUCGUAGC